Molecule: ribosomal RNA, 253 nt
Filed under: uncultured bacterium
Lineage: Bacteria
Description: partial 16S ribosomal RNA
Rfam family: Bacterial small subunit ribosomal RNA
Source: RNAcentral
GACAGAGGGUGCAAACGUUGUUCGGAAUUACUGGGCGUAAAGCGUGUGUAGGCGGCCUCGUAAGUCGGAUGUGAAAGCCCCAGGCUUAACCUGGGAAGUGCACUCGAAACUGCGAGGCUUGAGUAUCGGAGAGGUUGGUGGAAUUCUCGGUGUAGAGGUGAAAUUCGUAGAUAUCGAGAGGAACACCGGUGGCGAAGGCGGCCAACUGGACGAAUACUGACGCUGAGACACGAAAGCGUGGGGAGCGAACAGG